GAUCCUGGCUCAGGAUGAACGCUAGCGACAGGCCUAACACAUGCAAGUCGAGCGGCAGCACUCGGGUGGCGAGCGGCGCACGGGUGAGUAACGCGUAUGUAACCUGCCCAUGAGUGGGGGGAUAGCCCGGUGAAAACCGGAUUAAUACCCCAUGACACCAUUGUCUGACAUCUUAGAAUGGUUAAAGAUUCAUCGCUCAUGGAUGGACAUGCGUUGGAUUAGCUGGUCGGCGGGGCAACGGCCCACCGAGGCGACGAUCCAUAGGGGUUCUGAGAGGAAGGUCCCCCACAUUGGUACUGAGACACGGACCAAACUCCUACGGGAGGCAGCAGUGAGGAAUAUUGGUCAAUGGGCGGAAGCCUGAACCAGCCAAGUCGCGUGAAGGAAGACGGCAUUAUGUGUUGUAAACUUCUUUAGCUGUGGAGAAAUAAGGUGGUCGAGACCACCGAUGCUAGUACACAGAGAAUAAGGAUCGGCUAACUCCGUGCCAGCAGCAGC
Molecule: ribosomal RNA, 498 nt
Filed under: uncultured bacterium
Lineage: Bacteria
Description: bacterial SSU rRNA
Rfam family: Bacterial small subunit ribosomal RNA
Source: RNAcentral